This 1165-nucleotide long non-coding RNA is filed under the name Gallus gallus (chicken). Its description in RNAcentral is "lncRNA (ENSGALG00010018910.1)". The record is from RNAcentral. Lineage: Eukaryota; Metazoa; Chordata; Aves; Galliformes; Phasianidae.
GGGUAGAUGAGAAAUUAAUGAAAGAGGGAGAGAUCUGUGUCACGGCACUGAGAAACUCCACCGCGAGCCAUUCCCAGCAGUGUGUAACGCGAUCUCUCCUGCCUGCCAACACCUGUGCCAUGGGAAGGUCGAGAGCAGAGCUUGGUUCCAGGUCCAAUAGCAGCGAGCAGCGUAUCCUGGCACUUUCUGAAGUGAAGUCAGAUUUUGGCAGCAUCCCUUCAGCUCUGAUGAAAGUUACAACGGGGAGGGAAUGUAAAUAUGCUGAAGGACAGAUUAUACAGUCACAGCUUUUGGGGUCGGCAUGUCAGAAGUCCUGAAGACAGAGUCGUUAUCCUCCCCUUUGUUCUUCCUGGCUAACUAUUCUUUACGUGGUCAGAGUGACCUACCGUACCGUCAGUCAUGUCAGCUCCUAAGUGGUUUAAGAUAAGUGUCCCUUGAUCACAACGGAAAGUGUGUGGAGAUUUUCCAAGAAAUAAGUGUUUUGAAAAAAUGCCUAUGGCUGGACUGUGCUGAAAUUCUAUGCUCAAAUGUAAAUAUAAUUGGAGCAUAAAGCAAUAAAUUUUUUCAAGCACCAACAUAAAAUAACUGCUAAGAAGGAGUAAAAAAAUCAGACUGAACUUUAAUGACCUUUGUGUAUGUAUAUUUGAUAAUAUAGCAUCUCUAGCCAAGGUUUAAAAAUGGUUCAGUCUUGCAUCAGAGGGUAGACUGGACCAUAUUUCUAAACUGUGCUCAGUAUUAGACAUACUCAUUUAUCUUCUGGAUUUCACAGAAAUAAAGAGUAUGUACUUGCCAGAGCACAUGUUUCAGAGUAAAUAGUGAUGAAAAAAAAGUCACGGUUUCUUUGCCAAAGUGCAGUAUUUUCUAUUAAUGUGUUAAUGAGUGCCAUCAUGGUGGAAAUGUCCAAACUGGGAGAACAUCCUGUGUCAGGGAGAGCAGUGGUAGGGCUGCUUAGAGAAGCUCAGAAUGUUCAACAACAACCUGGAGAGGAGGCACUGGGCUGGUAGCAGCCCUUAUGCUGCUCCUUGAAUGGGCCCCCUUUCCCUCUGCCCAAUGCUACACCAGUGGUUGGGAACAGCCCACAUGAUCACAAUCUGCAAUAACUGAGGUAAAGCAGAGAUCACUGGGACAGCCUCCCUUGGAAAAACAACUAGAAGUAUAACCGCAU